CAAAGGCGUAUAUUAAAGUUGUUGCAGUUAAAAAGCUCGUAGUUGAACCUUGGGCUUGGCUGGCCGGUCCAUCUUUUUUGAUGCGUACUGGACCCAGCCGAGCCUUUCCUUCUGGCUAGCCUUUUGGCGAACCAGGACUUUUACUUUGAAAAAAUUAGAGUGUUCAAAGCAGGCCUUUGCUCGAAUAUAUUAGCAUGGAAUAAUAGAAUAGGACGUUAUGGUUCUAUUUUGUUGGUUUCUAGGACCAUCGUAAUGAUUAAUAGGGACGGUCGGGGGUAUCAGUAUUCAGUUGUCAGAGGUGAAAUUCUUGGAUUUACUGAAGACUAACUACUGCGAAAGCAUUUACCAAGGACGUUUUCAUUAA
RNAcentral lists this ribosomal RNA (364 nucleotides) under uncultured eukaryote. RNAcentral's name for it is "partial 18S ribosomal RNA". It matches the Rfam family "Eukaryotic small subunit ribosomal RNA", at positions 592 to 976 of the family's 1831-position model. The record is from RNAcentral.